UUCAGUUACCAUCGUGUCAAUAUCAAGUUACUUGGGUUUGUUUGCAGCAGAUGUAUCUGAACUCUUUGAAUGCAGUUGUUCCUGCCGCUGCCAUUGGGGCUCAUGUAGUGUUACCGAUAGCUCCUGUGUCUAUAGAGGAGAUCUUUGUGAUUUGUGUUCACAAGAAUGUCCAAUCUGCCGAGAACAGACUACAUUAUGUCAAAUAAGUCCUCCAACUUGCCCUCCCUGUCAAUAUUCAAGUACAUCUCCAAUAAAUUGUACAGGUUCUACAUCUGAGAUUAUUUAUGCUACAAACACAG
This is a long non-coding RNA of Saccostrea cuccullata (small rock oyster), 299 nucleotides long. RefSeq lists it as uncharacterized. The transcript is spliced from 4 exons. NCBI's taxonomy places the organism in Eukaryota, Metazoa, Mollusca, Bivalvia, Ostreida, Ostreidae. The record is from RefSeq and is a predicted model, not a curated record.